RNAcentral lists this ribosomal RNA (253 nucleotides) under uncultured bacterium. RNAcentral describes it as "partial 16S ribosomal RNA". It matches the Rfam family "Bacterial small subunit ribosomal RNA", at positions 524 to 776 of the family's 1533-position model. The record is from RNAcentral.
UACGUAGGGUGCGAGCGUUGUCCGGAAUUAUUGGGCGUAAAGGGCUCGUAGGCGGUUUGUCACGUCGGGAGUGAAAACUCAGGGCUCAACCCUGAGCCUGCUUCCGAUACGGGCAGACUAGAGGUAUGCAGGGGAGAACGGAAUUCCUGGUGUAGCGGUGAAAUGCGCAGAUAUCAGGAGGAACACCGGUGGCGAAGGCGGUUCUCUGGGCAUGAUCUGACGCUGAGGAGCGAAAGUGUGGGGAGCGAACAGG